UACAGAGGUCUCAAGCGUUGUUCGGAUUCAUUGGGCGUAAAGGGUGCGUAGGUGGCGCCAUAAGUCAGGUGUGAAAUCUCGGGGCCCAACCCCGAAACUGCACUUGAUACUGUGGUGCUCGAGUACUGGAGAGGAGAUUGGAAUUUACGGUGUAGCAGUGAAAUGCGUAGAUAUCGUAAGGAAGACCAGUGGCGAAGGCGAAUCUCUGGACAGUUACUGACACUGAGGCACGAAGGCCAGGGGAGCAAACGGG
This 253-nucleotide ribosomal RNA is filed under the name uncultured bacterium. Its description in RNAcentral is "partial 16S ribosomal RNA". It matches the Rfam family "Bacterial small subunit ribosomal RNA", at positions 524 to 776 of the family's 1533-position model. The record is from RNAcentral.